UCCAGACUCCUACGGGAGGCAGCAGUGGGGGAUAUUGCACAAUGGGGGGAACCCUGAUGCAGCGACGCCGCGUGGGUGAAGAAGCGCCUCGGCGCGUAAAGCCCUAUCGGCAGGGAAGAAGGAGGACGGUACCUGACUAAGAAGCCCCGGCUAACUACGUGCCAGCAGCCGCGGUAAUACGUAAGGGGCAAGCGUUAUCCGGAUUUACUGGGUGUAAAGGGGGCGCAGGCGGCAGCGCAAGCCAGGAGUGAAAGCCCGGGGCCCAACCCCGGGACUGCUCUUGGAACUGCGCGGCUGGAGUGCAGGAGGGGCAGGCGGAAUUCCUGGUGUAGCGGUGAAAUGCGUAGAUAUCAGGAGGAACACCGGUGGCGAAGGCGGCCUGCUGGACUGCGACUGACGUUGAGGCCCGAAAGCGUGGGGAGCAAACAGGAUUAGAUACCCUGGUAA
This 447-nucleotide ribosomal RNA is filed under the name uncultured bacterium. RNAcentral describes it as "partial 16S ribosomal RNA". It matches the Rfam family "Bacterial small subunit ribosomal RNA", at positions 330 to 793 of the family's 1533-position model. The record is from RNAcentral.